This is a long non-coding RNA of Patella vulgata (common limpet), 333 nucleotides long. RefSeq lists it as uncharacterized. Lineage: Eukaryota; Metazoa; Mollusca; Gastropoda; Patellidae. The record is from RefSeq and is a predicted model, not a curated record. The transcript is spliced from 3 exons.
UGUACAGACAUGGACAAGUGGCGAGAGUAAACAAGAUGAGAAGUUUUAUAAUCCUAGCUGUGUGUGCAGCUCUUGUGGCGAGUGAAGAUUGUCAGAAUAACAACGAUUGUAGAGUAACAAGUUGUAGUGGAGGUGUUUUAAGAUGUGUUGAAAAUCUCUGUACCUGUGUGACCCGCUGCGAUGAUGGCAUAGCAACCUGUAGGAACAGAGAGAACUGCAUAGAGGACGCUAACCAACAUAACUGUAAUUGUAGAACGGAAUACCAUUGUAUUGAUAAUCAUUGCUAUUGUGGUUAUCCCAAUGGAAAAUAAAUAAAGUCUACUGAAAAUACCA